CCUACGGGGGGCAGCAGUGAGGAAUAUUGGUCAAUGGACGAGAGUCUGAACCAGCCAAGUAGCGUGAAGGAUGACUGCCCUAUGGGUUGUAAACUUCUUUUAUAAAGGAAUAAAACGAGGCACGUGUGCCUUUUUGCAUGUACUUUAUGAAUAAGGAUCGGCUAACUCCGUGCCAGCAGCCGCGGUAAUACGGAGGAUCCGAGCGUUAUCCGGAUUUAUUGGGUUUAAAGGGAGCGUAGAUGGGUUGUUAAGUCAGUUGUGAAAGUUUGCGGCUCAACCGUAAAAUUGCAAUUGAUACUGUCAGUCUUGAGUACAGUUGAGGUAGGCGGAAUACGUGGUGUAGCGGUGAAAUGCUUAGAUAUCACGAAGAACCCCGAUUGCGAAGGCAGCUUACUAAACUGUGACUGACAUUGAUGCUCGAAAGUGUGGGUAUCGAACAGGAUUAGAUACCCCUGUAGUC
Molecule: ribosomal RNA, 460 nt
Filed under: uncultured bacterium
Lineage: Bacteria
Description: partial 16S ribosomal RNA
Rfam family: Bacterial small subunit ribosomal RNA
Source: RNAcentral